GUAGUCAUAUGCUUGUCUCAAAGAUUAAGCCAUGCAUGUCUAAGUAUAAGCAAUUAUACAGCGAAACUGCGAAUGGCCCAUUAAAUCAGUUAUCGUUUAUUUGAUAGUACCUUACUACUUGGAUAACCGUGGUAAUUCUAGAGCUAAUACAUGCUAAAAACCCCGACUCACGAAGGGGUGUAUUUAUUAGAUUAAAAACCAAUGCCCUUCGGGGCUCUCUGGUGAUUCAUAAUAACUUCUCGAAUCGCAUGGUCUUGUGCCGGCGAUGGUUCAUUCAAAUUUCUGCCCUAUCAACUUUCGAUGGCAGGGUCUUGGCCUGCCAUGGUUACAACGGGUAACGGAGGGUUAGGGCUCGACCCCGGAGAAGGAGCCUGAGAAACGGCUACUACAUCCAAGGAAGGCAGCAGGCGCGCAAAUUACCCAAUCCCGAUUCGGGRAGGUAGUGACAAUAAAUACUGAUACAGGGCUCUUUUGGGUCUUGUAAUUGGAAUGAGUACAAUUUAAAUCCCUUAACGAGGAACAAUUGGAGGGCAAGUCUGGUGCCAGCAGCCGCGGUAAUCC
RNAcentral lists this ribosomal RNA (561 nucleotides) under uncultured fungus. Its description in RNAcentral is "SSU rRNA". It matches the Rfam family "Eukaryotic small subunit ribosomal RNA", at positions 20 to 587 of the family's 1831-position model. The record is from RNAcentral. Lineage: Eukaryota; Fungi.